CACCAAAAAGAUCUCAAUUCAGAGGUAACUUUUACUUCAACUUAUAGACCCAAAGAGUGUGAUAUCAAAAGGAUUCACAACAGACUCACAUUUCAUGCUUUAACUAAUUGGUAAAAUGUUCUAUACAUGGCUUUUCAACUUGGAUACCAAAGAUAAUUCGAUAAUUUUUGCUAAAAAUGGGAAACGAACCACAACUAGUUGAAGUGGAAUCACAUGAACCUAAAAAGCCAGAGAAACAUAUUAUAGGUAGCUAACAGACGAUAAUACAUUAUCCAUAUCCAGUGCCAAAAUAUAUAAGUAGCUAACAGAAGACAUACAUCCUGUAAACUGGAUCCUAGUCUAUAGAUGCAAACACACAUUUGCUGCUUGAAAAAACAGCCACGAUGACAUCCGGCCUCUAAUAGUGGUUCAUUUGUAAUAACCACUACGGUAGAUAUUUUCAUAAGGAUUGCUACUCGAAAGCAGACAUGUUUCAGAUUAGAAAUGCACCCCCUUAAUCUUGAAAGAACAAAAAAGUUUGUGAUGAUAAAGAAUAAAAACUGAAUGAGAGGUAAUUGAGAAAGAACUAUAAUUAGGAGGCUGCACACAGUUCAGGGAUUCUAAAUGCGCAUAUAUCCCAAGGUUCAGGUACAAUAAAGUUCGGUGCAUCAUGGCUGUGAUAUGUUACAGAACUGAUCUGCAAGUGGCUUUGCUGAACCAUUUAAAGGUACUAAUAUUAUUUAACUAAAACUUCAUGUUCCAGAUGGAAAUUUUAAAUGAACAUUUGCAACUGACAUACGCAACAAACAGGAAGCCCAAACAAAGUUUAUCUCACAGUCAAGAUGCACAUAUUGCUUUUCUAAUUCUCUACUUGUUUGAUGACGCCGUGCCUUCCUUCCUGGGCUGUGGUUUAGGGGCAGCACCCUACAUUAAUAACAUGCCAGCAAAUAUUAGAUUGACUGAUACAAAUAAUAUACAAGCAACCUCAGUACAAUGCCAAUAUAUUUCCUCUCUUGUACUGUUUGGGGAGUGCCCAGGAGGAGGUAAGAGCACCAUACUCUGAGCAACAUCAAUUUUAGCAAAUUAGGCAGCAGAACACCAGUUAUAUGGGUACACAUUCUGGUAACUUUGUUCCUUUAGUAAGUGACAUCCUGAUGACUGUUUAAACUAUCAAUAUCCAAUUAUGAUGUAAAGGCUAACAAAAUGUUUAAAGUAAUUUCAAUAGCUUAAUGAAUAUCGAUUUGUUUCCAAUUAUUAUCGCUCACAUGAACAAAAAUUUGAAUGAAAGCUGGUUCAUUUCACGCUGGGUUCAGACCUACGGUUUGAUAUGUAGAUUUAUUUUUUCACCAAUCAUUACAUAAAUACUGACAAGGUUAGGUACCAUCCCAAAUUCUGUCAUGAUUCAGAACAUUAAAAUUAGAACAAUCGUUAUUGUAAAUGCUCUACAGCUCUAAUCGCUUAUCCUACUGUGUUAAUUUAUCAUAGACUCCAUAAAGUUUGACAAACCAUAUACAUUUCCCAAAUUACAAUGAAAUUCUAAGCCUGUUCCCUAUAAAAUUAUAGAACUCUGUUUGAAUCUUGAAAAGAUACACAAAAAUGAAAGGAAACUGAAAAGUAAUGUAAGAUAAAACUCAAUAAACACAAAUUCAACUAUAUAUUGCUGCCUUACGAAACUCCAAAGCCUAACUUAGCAACCCAGUACUUAAAAUUAAAAUAUUACUAUUGAGUUACAGUCUUACAGACAAGAUGAGUGAAUGCCACAAGUCUACUGUGGAAAAUGACAAUAAUAAUAACACAAUAUAUAGAUUAUAGAAGGGAAAAUUAUGAAACAUGCCAUAUCAAAUCGAAAUCGGUAAAAGAAAUCUAGGGUUUGAAAUUAAGAGAGAAAGAUAUCGUACAGUUUUGCGAAAGAUGAAGUCGCAAACGAUCACAGUGCCGACGAUUCCGCCCAAUAUUAAAGGUGGAGCUGUGAGCAGACUCCAUUUCCUGUAUAUCAUAUUCUCUUCGCUUCGCUUUUCUUCUCCUCCCUCCUUCCCUCUUCCCUCUUCCCUCUUCCCCUUCUAAAACUUGAAUUAAAUUAAAUCGAAUUAAAUUAAAUUAUGA
RNAcentral lists this long non-coding RNA (2082 nucleotides) under Panax ginseng (ginseng). Its description in RNAcentral is "long non-coding RNA (PGIN_LNC004783)". The record is from RNAcentral. Lineage: Eukaryota; Viridiplantae; Streptophyta; Magnoliopsida; Apiales; Araliaceae.